Molecule: unclassified non-coding RNA, 221 nt
Filed under: soil metagenome
Description: partial contains 5.8S ribosomal RNA, internal transcribed spacer 2, and large subunit ribosomal RNA
Source: RNAcentral
AACCUUAUGGACCUGCGGGCGUAUACCUGCGGAAGGAUCAUUACAGAGUUCAUGCCCUCACGGGUAGAUCUCCCACCCUUGAAUACUAUACCUUUGUUGCUUUGGCGGGCCGCUUUGGCUACUGGCUCUGGCUAGUAAGUGCCCGCCAAAGAACCCCAAAACUCUGAAUAUUAGUGUCGUCUGAGUACUAUAUAAUAGUUAAAACUUUUAACAACGGAUCU